UACGAAGGGGGCUAGCGUUGCUCGGAAUCACUGGGCGUAAAGGGUGCGUAGGCGGUUUGGUAAGUCUGAUGUGAAAUCUAUGGGCUCAACUCAUAGUCUGCAUCGGAAACUGCCGGGCUUGAGUGUGGGAGAGGUGAGUGGAAUUCCUGGUGUAGCGGUGAAAUGCGUAGAUAUCAGGAGGAACACCUGUGGCGAAAGCGGCUCACUGGACCAUAACUGACGCUGAUGCACGAAAGCUAGGGGAGCAAACAGG
Molecule: ribosomal RNA, 253 nt
Filed under: uncultured bacterium
Lineage: Bacteria
Description: partial 16S ribosomal RNA
Rfam family: Bacterial small subunit ribosomal RNA
Source: RNAcentral